GUCCUAGUGGUGUCCAGAGUACAGCGGGAAGAGUGUCCCCGCGGUGGCUCGGCCUUCUCUGCUCUGAGAAGAGGAAGCCGGAGGCUUCGUGAGCGGGAAGUGGUCCAGAAACUGCUCAGGUGUGGAUGUAGGUGGUUGAGCAACAGACAUUCCUGCCUUCUUGAUUCUUCAUGAAGAAACAGCUCUCUGCAGUGCAUCUGAGAAGCAGCAGACAACCCAAAUUCUUGAGUCCCUGCCACCAUGAGGGAGACUUGGAUGGAGUUCCAGAUCCGAGCUUUGAUCUGACCCAGUCCCAGCCAUUGUGACCAUUUGGCUUUCAGGUGAUUGACGAGGACAGAGUCCCUGAGCUGCAAAGAGACUGAAUUUUGGAAACUCCGUCCAGAACUCCACAUAGACCCGCCAAAAGAGAAUGGGAGAUGUGUGCUUGAACAGUGGAACCAGUCAGCAUGCUAGGGUGAGCUGCCCAAGCGCUUGUACCCCUGCACCCACAUGGGAGACCCAGAGGAAGCUCCUGAUUUCCUGGCUUCAGAUCGGCCCAAUCUCUGGCCAUUGCAGCCAUUUAGGGAAUGAACCAGCAGAUGGAAGACCCCUUUUCUCUCUCUGCCUCUCUCUCUGUAACUCUACCUCUCAAAUAAAUAAAUAAAAUCUUUUAAAACAUGUAAUUGAAUGUUAACUAAUGUGAGGAUAGGGCAAUACAGAGAUCCCCAAAUUUUAGUUUAAUACUUUUGACAAAUACUCCCCAGUUGCUUAAAGGAAGAGCAACUCCUUGUGUGCCUGCUGCAACCUUGCCACUAUUUGAAGGGGAAGAGCUCAUUGCCUGCCCUGAGGGGCAGUGCUGCAUCCCCCUCAGGUGUGUUCACAUGACUGUCAGACUGUCACUUCCCUAAUGAGAGGAUUAGAGCUGGCAGAGGGCCCAAGACAAUUCUUUAUAUUUAUUUCCUACAGUCAGAUUCUUUAUACCUAUUUAAGUGCUAUAGUAGUUACUGUGCAUAACCAGAGCAGCCAUUCUCCCAGCCUCUUAUUUGUGACAAGUUCAAUAGUUUGUAGUGAUUCCCCCCACCAUGGAAAUCAGUUUGUAUUUAUUUCUGUGAAGGAUAUCAAA
Long non-coding RNA from Lepus europaeus (European hare), 1102 nucleotides. RefSeq lists it as uncharacterized. Lineage: Eukaryota; Metazoa; Chordata; Mammalia; Lagomorpha; Leporidae. The transcript is spliced from 5 exons. The record is from RefSeq and is a predicted model, not a curated record.